UCAGUCGACUCCUACGGGGAGGCAGCAGUGGGGAAUAUUGCACAAUGGGGGAAACCCUGAUGCAGCCAUGCCGCGUGUGUGAAGAAGGCCUUCGGGUUGUAAAGCACUUUCAGUAGGGAGGAAGGUAGUGUAGUUAACACCUGCAUUAUUUGACGUUACCUACAGAAGAAGCACCGGCUAACUCCGUGCCAGCAGCCGCGGUAAUACGGAGGGUGCGAGCGUUAAUCGGAAUUACUGGGCGUAAAGCGCAUGCAGGCGGCCUGUUAAGUCAGAUGUGAAAGCCCGGGGCUUAACCUCGGAAUUGCAUUUGAAACUGGCAGGCUAGAGUCUUGUAGAGGGGGGUAGGAAUUUCAGGUGUAGCGGUGAAAUGCGUAGAGAUCUGAAGGAAUACCAGUGGCGAAGGCGGCCCCCUGGACAAAGACUGACGCUCAGAUGCGAAAGCGUGGGGAGCAAACAGGAUUAGAUACCCUGGGUAG
This 476-nucleotide ribosomal RNA is filed under the name uncultured bacterium. RNAcentral describes it as "bacterial SSU rRNA". It matches the Rfam family "Bacterial small subunit ribosomal RNA", at positions 328 to 793 of the family's 1533-position model. The record is from RNAcentral.